UACGUAGGGUGCGAGCGUUGUCCGGAAUUAUUGGGCGUAAAGAGCUCGUAGGCGGUGUGUCACGUCGGCCGUGAAAACCUGGGGCUUAACUCUGGGCGUGCGGUCGAUACGGGCAUCACUAGAGUUCGGCAGGGGAGACUGGAAUUCCUGGUGUAGCGGUGAAAUGCGCAGAUAUCAGGAGGAACACCGGUGGCGAAGGCGGCUCACUGGCUCAUUACUGACGCUCAGGCGCGAUAGCGUGGGGAUCAAACAGG
RNAcentral lists this ribosomal RNA (254 nucleotides) under uncultured bacterium. RNAcentral's name for it is "partial 16S ribosomal RNA". It matches the Rfam family "Bacterial small subunit ribosomal RNA", at positions 524 to 776 of the family's 1533-position model. The record is from RNAcentral.